RNAcentral lists this ribosomal RNA (253 nucleotides) under uncultured bacterium. RNAcentral describes it as "partial 16S ribosomal RNA". It matches the Rfam family "Bacterial small subunit ribosomal RNA", at positions 524 to 776 of the family's 1533-position model. The record is from RNAcentral.
UACGAAGGGUGCAAGCGUUAAUCGGAAUUACUGGGCGUAAAGCGUGCGCAGGCGGUUUUAUAAGACAGGUGUGAAAUUCCCGGGCUCAAACUGGGAAUGGAAUUUGUGACUGUAAGACUAGAGUACGGUAGAGGGGGAUGGAAUUCCGCGUGUAGCAGUGAAAUGCGUAGAUAUGCGGAGGAACACCGAUGGCGAAGGCAAUCCCCGGGACCUGUACUGACGCUCAUGCACGAAAGCGUGGGGAGCAAACAGG